RNAcentral lists this ribosomal RNA (1347 nucleotides) under uncultured prokaryote. RNAcentral's name for it is "partial 16S ribosomal RNA". It matches the Rfam family "Bacterial small subunit ribosomal RNA", at positions 75 to 1418 of the family's 1533-position model. The record is from RNAcentral.
AGCUUGCUAGAUGCUGACGAGCGGCGGACGGGUGAGUAACGCGUAGGAAUUUGCCUAGUAGUGGGGGAUAGCCCAGAGAAAUUUGGAUUAAUACCGCAUACACUCUACGGAGAAAAGCAGGAGAUCUUAGGACCUUGCCAUAUCAGAUAAGCCUGCUUGGGAUUAGGUAGUUGGUGAGGUAAGAGCUCACCAAGCCGACGAUCAGUAGCUGGUUUGAGAGGAUGACCAGCCACACUGGAACUGAGACACGGUCCAGACUCCUACGGGAGGCAGCAGUGGGGAAUAUUGCACAAUGGGCGCAAGCCUGAUGCAGCCAUGCCGCGUGUGUGAAGAAGGCUUUCGGGUUGUAAAGCACUUUCAGUUGGGAAAAAGUUAUAUAGUUUAAUAUGCUAUAGCCCUGUCGUUACCAACAGAAGAAGCACCGGCUAACUCCGUGCCAGCAGCCGCGGUAAUACGGAGGGUGCAAGCGUUAAUCGGAAUUACUGGGCGUAAAGCGCGCGUAGGUGGUUUGUUAAGCGAGAUGUGAAAGCCCCGGGCUCAACCUGGGAACUGCAUUUAAAACUGGCUAACUAGAGUAUGGUAGAGGAGAGUGGAAUUUCAGGUGUAGCGGUGAAAUGCGUAGAUAUCUGAAGGAACACCAGUGGCGAAGGCGGCUCUCUGGACCAAUACUGACGCUGAGGUGCGAAAGCGUGGGUAGCAAACGGGAUUAGAUACCCCGGUAGUCCACGCCGUAAACGAUGUCAACUAACUGGUUGUGGCCUUGAGCCGUGGCUUUCGGAGCUAACGCGUUAAGUAGACCGCCUGGGGAGUACGGUCGCAAGAUUAAAACUCAAAUGAAUUGACGGGGGCCCGCACAAGCGGUGGAGCAUGUGGUUUAAUUCGAUGCAACGCGAAGAACCUUACCUACUCUUGACAUCUACAGAAUCCAGCGGAGACGCCGGAGUGCCUUCGGGAACUGUAAGACAGGUGCUGCAUGGCUGUCGUCAGCUCGUGUUGUGAAAUGUUGGGUUAAGUCCCGCGACGAGCGCAACCCUUAUCCUUGAUUGCCAGCACGUAAUGGUGGGAACUUCAGGGAGACAGCCGGUGAUAAACCGGAGGAAGGUGGGGACGACGUCAAGUCAUCAUGGCCCUUACGAGUAGGGCUACACACGUGCUACAAUGGCGCAUACAGAGGGCUGCAAGCUAGCGAUAGUGAGCGAAUCCCACAAAGUGCGUCGUAGUCCGGAUUGGAGUCUGCAACUCGACUCCAUGAAGUCGGAAUCGCUAGUAAUCGUGAAUCAGAAUGUCACGGUGAAUACGUUCCCGGGCCUUGUACACACCGCCCGUCACACCAUGGGAGUGGGCUGC